This 205-nucleotide ribosomal RNA is filed under the name uncultured bacterium. Its description in RNAcentral is "partial 16S ribosomal RNA". It matches the Rfam family "Bacterial small subunit ribosomal RNA", at positions 570 to 774 of the family's 1533-position model. The record is from RNAcentral.
CGUAGGUGGUUUGGUAAGCGAGAUGUGAAAGCCCCGGGCUUAACCUGGGAACGGCAUUUCGAACUGUCAGACUAGAGUGUGGUAGAGGGUAGUGGAAUUUCCUGUGUAGCGGUGAAAUGCGUAGAUAUAGGAAGGAACACCAGUGGCGAAGGCGGCUACCUGGACCAACACUGACACUGAGGUGCGAAAGCGUGGGGAGCAAACA